Molecule: ribosomal RNA, 301 nt
Filed under: uncultured bacterium
Lineage: Bacteria
Description: partial 16S ribosomal RNA
Rfam family: Bacterial small subunit ribosomal RNA
Source: RNAcentral
CAGUCGCCGCGGGAAUACGAAGGGGGCUAGCGUUGUUCGGAAUUACUGGGCGUAAAGCGCACGUAGGCGGACAUUUAAGUCAGGGGUGAAAUCCCGGGGCUCAACCUCGGAACUGCCUUUGAUACUGGGUGUCUUGAGUGUGGAAGAGGUAAGUGGAAUUGCGAGUGUAGGGGUGAAAUUCGUAGAUAUUCGCAGGAACACCAGUGGCGAAGGCGGCUUACUGGUCCACAACUGACGCUGAGGUGCGAAAGCGUGGGGAGCAAACAGGAUUAGAUACCCGAGUAGUCCCUGUCUCUUAUAC